UAGGUUCCACCAAGGGAGGUGAGUUAUCCAUUUCAUUGCUUCAUUAUUUAAACACAGAAAAUUUGUUUUAUUCAUCGAUAUCUAUGGAAAAUAUAAGCAUUCAGAAAAAAGCAAGAAGAACAGUUACAGCAUCCGAAAUUAACUUUUUGGUCCAUCAGUAAAGGAAAUUACCCUCUAGUUGGAUUUUUCACCAGCCACAACAUUUGUAAUAUUAGUUAACUUUAAAAAAGGAAGUGAAAUCGGAGUGUUGCAAUCACCCAUGACCAUCCUACUGCAUGGUCACCUUGGCCAAAAGCAGAAAUCAUGGUGGAAAUAUAUCUUUAGAGAGAGAAGGUGUCCGUUAUCCGUUGCACACAAUUGCAGAUCACUUCCCUGGCACUCAACACUCCACUUCAGUUGCGUGAAUUUGGUUUUGUACCUGUCUUUGUAGAAAUGUGUUCCACUGUGCUGAGAGGGCGUUAUGGGAGCUUGUUGUGCAUGAAUGCAGUGGAAAGACUCUCUUCCCAGAGCUGCAAACACCUGCAUCGUCCAGCUGGAAGGGCCAUUGAGGAAGUGGCUUGAGAAAGUUCUGGAGCAUUUGCCCUUUUUUGGCUGGUAGACGACGGGUGAGAUUAAGAUCACGUAAAAUGGCGCGAUCAAUGAGGAUGACCAGAGCCAUCCGAGGUGUGUUUGGUGACGCCCCCGACCCCCCCUUAAAAACCUCAUGUGGAGGGAAGGGGAGGCACAUCAGGGCUGAACUCGGCGGCUCGUUUGGGUGAUGCUCCUCCUCCUCUCUCUGCUUACGAGACGAGCAGCUCGGCUUCAUCUGACAGCGUGGUGCAUUGGUGAGAGAACUUUUCACUUUGUUCUUGAAGAAUAACUAACUGAGGUUCUUUUCUCUGAGAGUUUUAAUGAAGUAUCCUAAGUUCCUCAGUUCCAAACACAGGCAUGGCAAUAUGGAAAUGUCUGAUAGCCGAGGUACUGCUUAGCUUGUCUUUACUUCUUUGACUGCUUCCUUAAUGUGUACUUAUCCUUACAUAAUCAUCAUGCUGUUAUUGUCAUUACUAUCUUGUAUGUUUAAAAGAAAGUAUAACUGUAUUGCUAUGUAAAUAAACACAGAACUUUUUUCCUGCUCAAACUUUUAAAAACUGUCAUGUUUCACCCCAGCUAUGAGGACAAAGUGUGGAGAGCUAAACCUGAUCCUAACAGAAACAUUCGCUGAGUAGACGUAUUAACUUUGCUGCUAAGUGUAUCAGUUAUGGGUGUUUCAUCCUCUAAGUUACAAUCACAGGCAUACAGCCAUGUGUACUAUCAGAUAAUAUUCCCUGUGGCAAAGAAUAUAAAAUAUAAGAAAGAGCUGACAGAGAGAUAUCAAGAGAAGUCCUACCACCAGCAUUAUGAUGGUGCCUCUGGUCCCUGUUGGACAGACACUGUUUAAGGUCAAUAGGAAACAGUGCUGGCACAGGCAGUUGUGUCUGAAACUCUGGGUCUGCUCUCACUACAGGCUUGUUGUGAUUGUAGGUGAAGAACUCCAGACCUGCUUAUCCAACAUGCAGCUGCUGUGUCUCCCUCUCCUUCUGCUCCUCCUGCCUGCCAGCAACACGCAGUUACUGAGUACCUGGACUACUGAUGCUGAUCGUGAGUACAUCACUUUACUAACUCACAGAGUUACUGUCAAUAGAAACAUGCAGACAAAUGCAGUCUAGUUUGGUCUCUGACUCAUUUCUCAUUCUUUAUGCAGGGUGGUUAGCUCACAGUUUCAUCUGCUGGGUCAGCUAUAGAAUAAAAACUGUGGGAGAUGCACACUGACUAUUUUCUUUCUGCAGAAUAUGACAUCGCCACAAAUUACUGUGUGUUCCCCUUCAAGUACAAAGGGGAGGAAUAUGAGUCAUGCAUGACAGCAGACUCUUCCAAAUACAGACCAUGGUGCUCUGUAACCAGUGACUACGACAAGGACGGUCUCUGGGGCUUCUGUAUCGGCGAUCGCACCACAGAUUCCACUGAGGGGGACGCGUGUGUCUUUCCUUUUACAUACAAUGGAAAGUCGUAUUCACAGUGCACCACCGCAGGAUUUUUCCCCGGAGCUCCCUGGUGCGCCACUACCAGCGACUAUGACACAGAUAAAGAGUGGGCUUACUGUCCUACCUCAGGUGUGAGAGUUUACCGCAUUCAUGGUCCUUAACUGCAGAAGUGACAGAGACACAGCUGCCAAGAUUAUGAAAAUGCCGGCUGUAUCGCCAUGAUUCACAGAAGUGAAAGGUGGAUAAUUUGCUGCUUCGUUGCUUCAGUGAUGCUUCCUUGCUUCAGAUAAGAGGACCAUUUUCCCUGUGAUUACACUGAUAUGAUCACUAUCACAACGCCGUGUGUCAUCGCUUGCUUGUUACACAUGCUGAGCCAUAAAGUCCUGUGUUCAAUCCCAGCCGUGUCAACAGCCAAUGAGGAACAGGAGCCCACAGCAGCGCAGCGAAUCAGCUUUGUUCAGCCAGGGACAGGGGCGGGCCGGUCAGAGGGGGCUUCCUCGUCUCACUGCAGGUCACUCGGAUGAUGUCAGCCAAGCCGCACUUCACUCUAGCGAACCUGGCGACUUACAGUGUCUCAGGCCAGACAAGCCAGCUGUGGACGAUCUCCUCUGCUGGAUGAUUGCUUUUGCUGCCAUGUUGGGGUGAGACUAGUCUAGCAUACACAUGGCAAGUCCGAAAUAGGGAAAAUGGCAAAAUAUAAAAAUGCAAACAUGAAGAAAAAGCACUUAAAGAAACAAAGUCUCUCUCACAAUGUAAUGCGCUACUGCUUGCUGUUGAAUAAAACACACUUGAGCAUAUCUGUGUUGACUGAGUGUCUUUAUCAUGGAGUAUGUUUAUGAUAAUGUCAGAACAUGGUGAAAAUUUCAUAAUAAUAUCAAGGCAAGGUCCUGGCAAUAUAGCGCCAUCUCUCCGAGCUCCAUUCUAAACCAAAAUGAGAAACAGGUCAUGGUGUAUAACAAGUGAGGUACAGUGCUAUUAUGACCCCACCUACACACAUAAAUCUGAUACAUAAACAUGUCUGAUCAUGUUUACAAAUUGCAGCCCCAUAACAACGCCACUGCCUUCAAGGAUUGCAGUACUUUGGCAUUUCCUCAACUUCUGAGGACGAAGUGUGAAAAAUGUCGUAAACAUAAACUGAGAUCUACUCAUAGGAAAUUGUCUCAC
This is an RNA transcript of Megalops cyprinoides (Indo-Pacific tarpon), 3164 nucleotides long. It is a transcript of the gene named matrix metalloproteinase-9-like, with no coding region annotated. The transcript is spliced from 6 exons. The record is from RefSeq and is a predicted model, not a curated record. NCBI's taxonomy places the organism in Eukaryota, Metazoa, Chordata, Actinopteri, Elopiformes, Megalopidae.